GUCGAGAAUCUUUCACAAUGGGGGCAACCCUGAUGGAGCGACGCCGCGUGGAGGAUAAGGUCUUCGGAUUGUAAACUCCUGUCAUGCGUGAACAAGGUUGCUUGGUUAAUACCUGGGCAAAUUGAUGGUAACGCAAGAGGAAGAGACGGCUAACUCUGUGCCAGCAGCCGCGGUAAUACAGAGGUCUCAAGCGUUGUUCGGAAUCACUGGGCGUAAAGGGUGCGUAGGUGGCGUGGUAAGUCAGAUGUGAAAGCCCGGGGCUCAACCUCGGAACUGCAUCUGAUACUGCCAUGCUAGAGUACUGGAGAGGUGACUAGAAUUCUCGGUGUAGCAGUGAAAUGCGUAGAUAUCGAGAGGAAUACCAAAGGCGUAGGCAGGUCACUGGACAGUUACUGACACUGAGGCACGAAGGCCAGGGGAGCGAACGGGAUUAGAUACCCUUGUAGUCC
This 449-nucleotide ribosomal RNA is filed under the name uncultured bacterium. RNAcentral describes it as "partial 16S ribosomal RNA". It matches the Rfam family "Bacterial small subunit ribosomal RNA", at positions 354 to 796 of the family's 1533-position model. The record is from RNAcentral.